GAGUGGGCGGCGUGCUAUACAUGCAGUCGAGCGGACAGAUGGGAGCUUGCUCCCUGAUGUUAGCGGCGGACGGGUGAGUAACACGUGGGUAACCUGCCUGUAAGACUGGGAUAACUCCGGGAAACCGGGGCUAAUACCGGAUGGUUGUUUGAACCGCAUGGUUCAAACAUAAAAGGUGGCUUCGGCUACCACUUACAGAUGGACCCGCGGCGCAUUAGCUAGUUGGUGAGGUAACGGCUCACCAAGGCAACGAUGCGUAGCCGACCUGAGAGGGUGAUCGGCCACACUGGGACUGAGACACGGCCCAGACUCCUACGGGAGGCAGCAGUAGGGAAUCUUCCGCAAUGGACGAAAGUCUGACGGAGCAACGCCGCGUGAGUGAUGAAGGUUUUCGGAUCGUAAAGCUCUGUUGUUAGGGAAGAACAAGUACCGUUCGAAUAGGGCGGUACCUUGACGGUACCUAACCAGAAAGCCACGGCUAACUACGUGCCAGCAGCCGCGGUAAUACGUAGGUGGCAAGCGUUGUCCGGAAUUAUUGGGCGUAAAGGGCUCGCAGGCGGUUUCUUAAGUCUGAUGUGAAAGCCCCCGGCUCAACCGGGGAGGGUCAUUGGAAACUGGGGAACUUGAGUGCAGAAGAGGAGAGUGGAAUUCCACGUGUAGCGGUGAAAUGCGUAGAGAUGUGGAGGAACACCAGUGGCGAAGGCGACUCUCUGGUCUGUAACUGACGCUGAGGAGCGAAAGCGUGGGGAGCGAACAGGAUUAGAUACCCUGGUAGUCCACGCCGUAAACGAUGAGUGCUAAGUGUUAGGGGGUUUCCGCCCCUUAGUGCUGCAGCUAACGCAUUAAGCACUCCGCCUGGGGAGUACGGUCGCAAGACUGAAACUCAAAGGAAUUGACGGGGGCCCGCACAAGCGGUGGAGCAUGUGGUUUAAUUCGAAGCAACGCGAAGAACCUUACCAGGUCUUGACAUCCUCUGACAAUCCUAAAAAAUAGGACGUCCCCUUCCGGGGCAAAAUGACAGGGGGUGCAUGGUUGUCCUCACCUCCUGUCCUGAAAAGUUGGGUUAAAUCCCCGCACCAACCGCAACCCUUGAUCUUUAUUUGCCCCCUUUCCUUUGGGCACCCUAAAGGGGAUUGCCCGUGACACACCCGGAGAAGAGUGGGG
RNAcentral lists this ribosomal RNA (1164 nucleotides) under Bacillus subtilis. Its description in RNAcentral is "bacterial SSU rRNA". It matches the Rfam family "Bacterial small subunit ribosomal RNA", at positions 33 to 1178 of the family's 1533-position model. The record is from RNAcentral. Lineage: Bacteria; Bacillati; Bacillota; Bacilli; Caryophanales; Bacillaceae.